Molecule: ribosomal RNA, 543 nt
Filed under: uncultured bacterium
Lineage: Bacteria
Description: partial 16S ribosomal RNA
Rfam family: Bacterial small subunit ribosomal RNA
Source: RNAcentral
UGGGGAAUUUUGGACAAUGGGCGAAAGCCUGAUCCAGCAAUGCCGCGUGUGUGAAGAAGGCCUUCGGGUUGUAAAGCACUUUUGUCCGGAAAGAAAUCCUCUGGGUUAAUACCUCGGGGGGAUGACGGUACCGGAAGAAUAAGCACCGGCUAACUACGUGCCAGCAGCCGCGGUAAUACGUAGGGUGCAAGCGUUAAUCGGAAUUACUGGGCGUAAAGCGUGCGCAGGCGGUUUUGUAAGACGGAUGUGAAAUCCCCGGGCUUAACCUGGGAACUGCAUUCGUGACUGCAAGGCUAGAGUAUGGCAGAGGGGGGUAGAAUUCCACGUGUAGCAGUGAAAUGCGUAGAGAUGUGGAGGAAUACCGAUGGCGAAGGCAGCCCCCUGGGCCAAUACUGACGCUCAUGCACGAAAGCGUGGGGAGCAAACAGGAUUAGGAUACCCUGGUAGUCCACGCCCUAAACGAUGUCAACUAGUUGUUGGGGAUUCAUUUCCUUAGUAACGUAGCUAACGCGUGAAGUUGACCGCCUGGGGGAGUACGGUCGC